UGCAUGGCUGUCGUCAGCUCGUGUCGUGAGAUGGUUGGGUUAAGUCCCGCAACGAGCGCCAACCCUAUCUUAGUUGCCAUCAUUGAGUUGGGCACUCUAAAGAGACUGCCGGUGUCAAACCGGAGGAAGGUGGGGAUGACGUCAAGUCCUCAUGGCCUUUAUGACCAGGGCUACACACGUACUACAAUGGCCGGUACAAAGGGCAGCGACACAGCGAUGUGAAGCCAAUCCCGAAAAGCCGGUCUCAGUCCGGAUUGGAGUCUGCAACUCGACUCCAUGAAGUUGGAAUCGCUAGUAAUCGCGGAUCAGCACGCCGCGGUCGAAUACGUUCCCGGGCCUU
Molecule: ribosomal RNA, 340 nt
Filed under: uncultured Desulfocapsa sp.
Lineage: Bacteria; Pseudomonadati; Thermodesulfobacteriota; Desulfobulbia; Desulfobulbales; Desulfocapsaceae
Description: bacterial SSU rRNA
Rfam family: Bacterial small subunit ribosomal RNA
Source: RNAcentral